Molecule: long non-coding RNA, 102 nt
Organism: Bradysia coprophila
Lineage: Eukaryota; Metazoa; Arthropoda; Insecta; Diptera; Sciaridae
Source: RefSeq, a predicted model, not a curated record
ACAAAUUACAAUGGCAAAACAGCUGAAAUCGAUGAAACGCGUAAAGAAUAAAAAUGCAUUUUUUUGACUGUCCCAGGCUGUAGCAAAUUAAAAAUAUUUCGA